Taeniopygia guttata (zebra finch) is the source of this 425-nucleotide non-coding RNA. The record is from RefSeq and is a predicted model, not a curated record. Lineage: Eukaryota; Metazoa; Chordata; Aves; Passeriformes; Estrildidae.
ACGCUGUCUGUCUUUGUCUCACACCUGGACACCUGCUCCAGGUGUAUUCUGCGAGGGACAGGAUCAAAACUGCACUUAAAAUCCUGAAAUAGAACCUGCAUUGCCUUCCCAUCAUCCAUGAGACGGGUGACCUUCUGUUAGGGAACCAGUGAGUGGGAGCCAGGGUGCGCUUGAGUUUCGGGAAUGCCGCAUCUCCUCGUCUCCUCAUUUCCCAGGCAGACCCUGCCACGAGGGCGUGGCCGAAGCGGCCCGAGGAUCCGGGCAUUCUUAGGAGAAUGCUGGGCAAGGGCCACACGUCGGUGACUGCAGGAAAUUGCCAGCAGGGGAGGCAGCCUUCCUUCGUACCUGAUGUGGAUUCCCUUCCCCGGACAUCCUAGAGAUAUUUUUAGGAUUGGUGACUGAUAAACACAAUGUGUUUUGAUGGA